Molecule: non-coding RNA, 78 nt
Filed under: uncultured Cytobacillus sp.
Lineage: Bacteria; Bacillati; Bacillota; Bacilli; Caryophanales; Bacillaceae
Description: TPP riboswitch (THI element)
Rfam family: TPP riboswitch aptamer (THI element)
About the family: Vitamin B(1) in its active form thiamin pyrophosphate (TPP) is an essential coenzyme that is synthesised by coupling of pyrimidine and thiazole moieties in bacteria. The previously detected thiamin-regulatory element, thi box was extended, resulting in a new, highly conserved RNA secondary structure, the THI element, which is widely distributed in eubacteria and also occurs in some archaea.
Source: RNAcentral
AAUGCUAGGGGUGCCAACUAUUUGGCUGAGAUGAACCCUUUGAACCUGAUCUAGUUAAUACUAGCGGAGGGAAGCGAG